CUUCGGUGGGUUGCUUCCAAAGGAGGAUUCUUUGGAGCACUUGAACCUGAAGAAAUGAAAAGCAUGGACAUUAAAGAAAAUCGAUGAUCAUGCAAGACGAUGAGCAAAUUCGGGUUGGUAGUUAGAAGGCUUGUGUUGAAAUACAUAGAAGAAGAAGCGAAACACACCAAGAAGACAUUUCAAAUUACCUGAACUAAAGAAAAGAAACAAGAAAAAUAACGCAGAAUGCCGAAGAGAGCUAACACCCAUCUCUGCUAGAUACUUCUUCUACACCUUG
Prunus avium (sweet cherry) is the source of this 277-nucleotide non-coding RNA. NCBI's taxonomy places the organism in Eukaryota, Viridiplantae, Streptophyta, Magnoliopsida, Rosales, Rosaceae. The record is from RefSeq and is a predicted model, not a curated record.